Non-coding RNA from Xyrichtys novacula (pearly razorfish), 482 nucleotides. The record is from the annotation of a GenBank genome assembly. Lineage: Eukaryota; Metazoa; Chordata; Actinopteri; Labriformes; Labridae.
GAAAAACAGGAAGGUUUGACACGAUUCUAAUGCAGAAUUACUCUUAGGAGAACACCUGCCUCAUUGGUUCGUUCUUUAACCUACUGGAGUUUAAAUCACGGUUUUUGAUUUGGUUUUAGGUGCACAUUUUUCUUGAAGGCUGCGCAGACUGUCUGCAAAACGCAGUGUGUGACUACGUGGCCAGACGCGCCUUACGCACCUGUGGCGCACUUGGAUACAAAGCUUCUUCAUUCGUACAGUCGUGAAAUAUUACACACUCUGUGGACUAUGUGGCAAUUUACAGUCACAUAAUUUACCCCCUUUCCCGUUUCCUGAUUCCUCAACAACAUAGAAUGACGCAUUUGAAAAAAAUCGAGCAGAAACUGUAAAAAUGAGUUUGUAUCAGAGACUGUUGGCGAGCUGAAAUGAUAUUGACAGUGUUCGCCUGUGAUGAAUACUUGUGCCUGUCCGAGAACUACAGCCUGUGUUAGCUCACGUGGAGG